CAGUCGCCACGGUAAUACGAAGGGGGCUAGCGUUGCUCGGAAUGACUGGGCGUAAAGGGCGCGUAGGCGGCGGCCAAAGUCAGGCGUGAAAUUCCCGGGCUCAACCUGGGGGCUGCGUUUGAUACUUGGUUGCUUGAGUGGGGAAGAGGGUCGUGGAAUUCCCAGUGUAGAGGUGAAAUUCGUAGAUAUUGGGAAGAACACCGGUGGCGAGGGCGGCGACCUGGUCCUUUACUGACGCUGAGGCGCGAAAGCGUGGGGAGCAAACAGGAUUAGACCCCAGUAGUCCCUGUCUCUUAUACAC
RNAcentral lists this ribosomal RNA (301 nucleotides) under uncultured bacterium. RNAcentral describes it as "partial 16S ribosomal RNA". It matches the Rfam family "Bacterial small subunit ribosomal RNA", at positions 509 to 809 of the family's 1533-position model. The record is from RNAcentral.